CCUACGGGAGGCAGCAGUGAGGAAUAUUGGACAAUGGGCGCAAGCCUGAUCCAGCGACGCCGCGUGAGUGAUGAAGGCCUUUGGGUCGUAAAGCUCUGUCAGCAGGGAAGAACGGCCGUGUGGUUAAUACCCAUGCGGAUUGACGGUACCUGCAGAGGAAGCCCCGGCU
Molecule: ribosomal RNA, 169 nt
Filed under: uncultured bacterium
Lineage: Bacteria
Description: partial 16S ribosomal RNA
Rfam family: Bacterial small subunit ribosomal RNA
Source: RNAcentral